UCCGCGGCCGCCAGGUGAGCCCGCCCCGGUAGCCCCGCGCGUGGUCCGGUCGGCAGAGGCUUGGCGAGCCGCCAUCCCGCCCCUGCCCCAGGCCCACCUUCCCCCACCGCCCAGGCCCCGCUGGCCUCCCCGGCUCAUCUCGCACCCGGCGCAGACCCCAUGCCCUCCCGUCUCGGCAGCGCCCCCCGCUUCGCCUCCCGGUCCGGCCCCAGCUCGACGGGCGGAACCGGGUGCGCACAGCAGCCCCGCGCCCUGGCCCAGGGCCAGCGGGUUAACGCUUAACUACGCUCCAGGAGCUGUAGGCUCCAGCCGCGCCUCGAGUCCCCAACCUUUGGCCCCGGAAGCCAAAAAGAGGAGCGGACGGUGAAGGAGUCAGGGAUAAUGUGAGUUGAUGCUGGCUGAGAUCUGCUCCGAUGAGGGUUUGAAAGAGAGAGCUCCGGGUGUCAAAGUCAGUGGAUGGCAAAACAUGCCUGGAGGGAGCAACCAGGCAUCCAACCACAGGCCCUGGGCUGGAGGGCGGGGGGGGGGGGGGGUGGAAGCAGAGGAAGGAGAGAGAAGGAAAUUUGGGAGGAAGAGUGGGCACGAACUGGCUGCCCAAUUGUGUGGGUGGGUAGGUGGCAGGGAGGGACUGGUUGUUCUGGGUCUGCCCCUCCGGCCCCACCACACCUGCUUCCAGGUGAGCUUAGGAAUUUCCCAGGCUUCCUCCCAGCUGGAGCCAGACGUGUCCCUCAGAGGCCCCAGCCCUGCCCAUCCUUUCCUGCCCUACCCAGGGCUUCUCUACCUUCUUGGCUUGGCCUGCUCCUUGUUCACACCUUGGUAAAUGACCCUUCACAAAA
Molecule: long non-coding RNA, 836 nt
Organism: Homo sapiens (human)
Lineage: Eukaryota; Metazoa; Chordata; Mammalia; Primates; Hominidae
Exons: 2
Source: RefSeq, a predicted model, not a curated record